RNAcentral lists this long non-coding RNA (497 nucleotides) under Monodelphis domestica (gray short-tailed opossum). RNAcentral describes it as "lncRNA (ENSMODG00000048338.1)". The record is from RNAcentral. Lineage: Eukaryota; Metazoa; Chordata; Mammalia; Didelphimorphia; Didelphidae.
AAAGGGAAUUAAAAAACAUAUGAUGUUUAUAUUAACAUACAUAUAUAAUUUGCAUAUUUAAAAAUAAAUUAUAAACAAUAUGGAGUUUAUGGUUUUGCACAUAAUUUUUUAAUGCAUUUGUUUAUUUAAACAUUUUUGGUGGUGGUGGUUGCUAAAUAUAUAAUUAAAAAAUUUUAGGGCAAUUUACUUCAAUGCUUUCUUUUCACAGAUAAGGAAAUUGAAAUUGGGACUUGCUCAAGGUCACAGAAGGAUUAGAAGGAAAAAAAGAGAAAAGCAGCCUCUGGUGCCACCUGCUGGUAGUUGCCUCCUGCGAGAAUUCCAUGUAUUUUUAGAAAAUAGCACCAUGAAUGUUACAAUGCACUUCCCUGCCUUUGAAGCCAGAUUGUCAAGUCAAUGCCAAUGUGAUCAGCAAAGGAACCAUAGGCUGGUAGGCAAGAGAAGUGAAAGACUUGAGAAUCCAUCAGCUGCAUAAUCUGGCUCUGAAGCAUUGAGAGGUU